ACGCUCGACACCUACGGGAGCAGCAGUUAGGAAUAUUGGGCAAUGGAGGAAACUCUGACCCAGCAACGCCGCGUGAAGGAAGAAGGUUUUCGGAUUGUAAACUUCUGAUCUAGGGGAAGAAGGAAGUGACGGUACCCUAGGAGAAAGCCACGGCUAACUACGUGCCAGCAGCCGCGGUAAUCUGAGGCGGGCUGGACAAGGC
Molecule: ribosomal RNA, 202 nt
Filed under: uncultured bacterium
Lineage: Bacteria
Description: partial 16S ribosomal RNA
Rfam family: Bacterial small subunit ribosomal RNA
Source: RNAcentral